This is a long non-coding RNA of Pipra filicauda (Wire-tailed manakin), 209 nucleotides long. RefSeq lists it as uncharacterized. The transcript has 3 exons. Lineage: Eukaryota; Metazoa; Chordata; Aves; Passeriformes; Pipridae. The record is from RefSeq and is a predicted model, not a curated record.
CAGGAUGGCUCCCUCACUCGCUGGAGAGGCUGAGACAUUUUUCGGGAAUGGAUGUCUGCUGGGAAGCACACGCUGGCGUUUAGAUACAACCCAAAGCAAGACACAACAAGCAAAAGCUAAAAAUGUGAAGAAUGAAGCUUUUGGGAGGGAUGAGAAAGCAAAGGAAGAACCCUCAGGAUGAAGGAUUUCAAGUGGCAGGAGGGUUAAAC